Molecule: non-coding RNA, 522 nt
Organism: Pseudopodoces humilis (Tibetan ground-tit)
Lineage: Eukaryota; Metazoa; Chordata; Aves; Passeriformes; Paridae
Source: RefSeq, a predicted model, not a curated record
GGAUAAAUAAUUGCCUUAAAGCCUCAGCCGAACUGCCAACCACACCUUCGGAUGGGACAUUCCUCGCAGCAGCAGUGUUAGACCUCGAAUUGAAGAAAAUCCUGGAGUUGAACAUAUCUUCGGGGUUAGAAGGCAGAAAUAUGUGAACUGCUGAGAGAGGUGGGUACUUUUUGUUCUAAUUUCAGAGCUGUCCUAACCCAGUGGUGCCUGCAAGAGGUGCAUGAGGAGGGGAAUGUUGUGGGCAUGCUGCUCAGGACGCGUUUGGUGACUGGCAAUUCGGUCUCCACACCGUGUCCCUGAGCUUUGUUAUUCUGCUUUUCCGUACUAAGCUCUUGGUUGCUCUUGCCCUGGCAGAUUCUGUCUCUUUAAGUAACUAAAUCUCAUUUUUAAGCUAUUCCUGGGAAAAGGAUGUUACACAUGAGUAGAAAAAUGCAGGCAAGAAAGGCUAAUUGAAUGAAAAGAGAGAAUUAGGUUAAAAAUAGAGUACAAUCUAGUAUCACAUUUUCACUAGUGUAACCUGAA